GGUUAAGCGACUAAGCGUACACGGUGGAUGCCCUGGCAGUCAGAGGCGAUGAAGGACGUGCUAAUCUGCGAUAAGCGUCGGUAAGGUGAUAUGAACCGUUAUAACCGGCGAUUUCCGAAUGGGGAAACCCAGUGUGUUUCGACACACUAUCAUUAACUGAAUCCAUAGGUUAAUGAGGCGAACCGGGGGAACUGAAACAUCUAAGUACCCCGAGGAAAAGAAAUCAACCGAGAUUCCCCCAGUAGCGGCGAGCGAACGGGGAGCAGCCCAGAGCCUGAAUCAGUGUGUGUGUUAGUGGAAGCGUCUGGAAAGGCGCGCGAUACAGGGUGACAGCCCCGUACACAAAAAUGCACAUGCUGUGAGCUCGAUGAGUAGGGCGGGACACGUGGUAUCCUGUCUGAAUAUGGGGGGACCAUCCUCCAAGGCUAAAUACUCCUGACUGACCGAUAGUGAACCAGUACCGUGAGGGAAAGGCGAAAAGAACCCCGGCGAGGGGAGUGAAAAAGAACCUGAAACCGUGUACGUACAAGCAGUGGGAGCACGCUUCGGCGUGUGACUGCGUACCUUUUGUAUAAUGGGUCAGCGACUUAUAUUCUGUAGCAAGGUUAACCGAAUAGGGGAGCCGAAGGGAAACCGAGUCUUAACUGGGCGUUAAGUUGCAGGGUAUAGACCCGAAACCCGGUGAUCUAGCCAUGGGCAGGUUGAAGGUUGGGUAACACUAACUGGAGGACCGAACCGACUAAUGUUGAAAAAUUAGCGGAUGACUUGUGGCUGGGGGUGAAAGGCCAAUCAAACCGGGAGAUAGCUGGUUCUCCCCGAAAGCUAUUUAGGUAGCGCCUCGUGAAUUCAUCUCCGGGGGUAGAGCACUGUUUCGGCAAGGGGGUCAUCCCGACUUACCAACCCGAUGCAAACUGCGAAUACCGGAGAAUGUUAUCACGGGAGACACACGGCGGGUGCUAACGUCCGUCGUGAAGAGGGAAACAACCCAGACCGCCAGCUAAGGUCCCAAAGUCAUGGUUAAGUGGGAAACGAUGUGGGAAGGCCCAGACAGCCAGGAUGUUGGCUUAGAAGCAGCCAUCAUUUAAAGAAAGCGUAAUAGCUCACUGGUCGAGUCGGCCUGCGCGGAAGAUGUAACGGGGCUAAACCAUGCACCGAAGCUGCGGCAGCGACACUAUGUGUUGUUGGGUAGGGGAGCGUUCUGUAAGCCUGUGAAGGUGUGCUGUGAGGCAUGCUGGAGGUAUCAGAAGUGCGAAUGCUGACAUAAGUAACGAUAAAGCGGGUGAAAAGCCCGCUCGCCGGAAGACCAAGGGUUCCUGUCCAACGUUAAUCGGGGCAGGGUGAGUCGACCCCUAAGGCGAGGCCGAAAGGCGUAGUCGAUGGGAAACAGGUUAAUAUUCCUGUACUUGGUGUUACUGCGAAGGGGGGACGGAGAAGGCUAUGUUGGCCGGGCGACGGUUGUCCCGGUUUAAGCGUGUAGGCUGGUUUUCCAGGCAAAUCCGGAAAAUCAAGGCUGAGGCGUGAUGACGAGGCACUACGGUGCUGAAGCAACAAAUGCCCUGCUUCCAGGAAAAGCCUCUAAGCAUCAGGUAACAUCAAAUCGUACCCCAAACCGACACAGGUGGUCAGGUAGAGAAUACCAAGGCGCUUGAGAGAACUCGGGUGAAGGAACUAGGCAAAAUGGUGCCGUAACUUCGGGAGAAGGCACGCUGAUAUGUAGGUGAAGCGACUUGCUCGUGGAGCUGAAAUCAGUCGAAGAUACCAGCUGGCUGCAACUGUUUAUUAAAAACACAGCACUGUGCAAACACGAAAGUGGACGUAUACGGUGUGACGCCUGCCCGGUGCCGGAAGGUUAAUUGAUGGGGUCAGCGCAAGCGAAGCUCUUGAUCGAAGCCCCGGUAAACGGCGGCCGUAACUAUAACGGUCCUAAGGUAGCGAAAUUCCUUGUCGGGUAAGUUCCGACCUGCACGAAUGGCGUAAUGAUGGCCAGGCUGUCUCCACCCGAGACUCAGUGAAAUUGAACUCGCUGUGAAGAUGCAGUGUACCCGCGGCAAGACGGAAAGACCCCGUGAACCUUUACUAUAGCUUGACACUGAACAUUGAGCCUUGAUGUGUAGGAUAGGUGGGAGGCUUUGAAGUGUGGACGCCAGUCUGCAUGGAGCCGACCUUGAAAUACCACCCUUUAAUGUUUGAUGUUCUAACGUUGACCCGUAAUCCGGGUUGCGGACAGUGUCUGGUGGGUAGUUUGACUGGGGCGGUCUCCUCCUAAAGAGUAACGGAGGAGCACGAAGGUUGGCUAAUCCUGGUCGGACAUCAGGAGGUUAGUGCAAUGGCAUAAGCCAGCUUGACUGCGAGCGUGACGGCGCGAGCAGGUGCGAAAGCAGGUCAUAGUGAUCCGGUGGUUCUGAAUGGAAGGGCCAUCGCUCAACGGAUAAAAGGUACUCCGGGGAUAACAGGCUGAUACCGCCCAAGAGUUCAUAUCGACGGCGGUGUUUGGCACCUCGAUGUCGGCUCAUCACAUCCUGGGGCUGAAGUAGGUCCCAAGGGUAUGGCUGUUCGCCAUUUAAAGUGGUACGCGAGCUGGGUUUAGAACGUCGUGAGACAGUUCGGUCCCUAUCUGCCGUGGGCGCUGGAGAACUGAGGGGGGCUGCUCCUAGUACGAGAGGACCGGAGUGGACGCAUCACUGGUGUUCGGGUUGUCAUGCCAAUGGCACUGCCCGGUAGCUAAAUGCGGAAGAGAUAAGUGCUGAAAGCAUCUAAGCACGAAACUUGCCCCGAGAUGAGUUCUCCCUGACUCCUUGAGAGUCCUGAAGGAACGUUGAAGACGACGACGUUGAUAGGCCGGGUGUGUAAGCGCAGCGAUGCGUUGAGCUAACCGGUACUAAUGAACCGUGAGGCUUAACCUU
This 2903-nucleotide ribosomal RNA is filed under the name Escherichia coli. Its description in RNAcentral is "23S ribosomal RNA". It matches the Rfam family "Bacterial large subunit ribosomal RNA". Lineage: Bacteria; Pseudomonadati; Pseudomonadota; Gammaproteobacteria; Enterobacterales; Enterobacteriaceae. The record is from RNAcentral.